Long non-coding RNA from Xenopus tropicalis (tropical clawed frog), 625 nucleotides. RefSeq lists it as uncharacterized. The record is from RefSeq and is a predicted model, not a curated record. The transcript is spliced from 2 exons. NCBI's taxonomy places the organism in Eukaryota, Metazoa, Chordata, Amphibia, Anura, Pipidae.
CAGCAGGUAAAUGGCAAGGGGGGCAGCAAGCUGGCAUGAAUAGCCUUAAUGCACAGAAAUGGGCAGGGGGAGGGCAAACGGGUACAACAGACAGCAGGUAAAUGGCAAAGUGGGGCAGCAAGCUGGCAUGAAUAGCCUCAAUGCACAGAAAUGGGCAGGGGGAGGGCAAACGGGUACAACAGACAGCAGGUAAAUGGCAAAGUGGGGCAGCAAGCUGGCAUGAAUAGCCUCAAUGCACAGAAAUGAGCAGGGGGAGGGCAAACGGGUACAACAGACAGCAGGUAAAUGGCAAGGGGGGCAGCAAGCUGGCAUGAAUAGCCUUAAUGCACAGAAAUGGGCAGGGGGAGGGCAAACGGGUACAACAGACAGCAGGUAAAUGGCAAAGUGGGUGGAACAGACUGUGGGUACAUAAGGGCACAGAUAUGGGCAGGAAGAGACACAUGAUGACGGGUGGGCACCCAUGAGUUAGUGCUCACACACACGGGGGCAGGAGGGGGGGGAGGGUGCCAAUGUGGCACUAGGAUUGUUACUAACCUGCCCUUUCCCAUCUGUCGCCUUCUUCUUCUUUUUCUUCUUCAGUUUGAUGGGCGCCGGUUUCUUCUGGUGUGCGAGUGGGGGGGGGGGG